GCCUUCCUGGUGUAGUGGUCAGCACGCUCGACUCGCAUUCGAGAGGUCCGUGGUUCGACUCCCGGCAGGGGA
This 72-nucleotide transfer RNA is filed under the name Stegodyphus dumicola. Its description in RNAcentral is "tRNA-Ala". It matches the Rfam family "tRNA". From Rfam's summary of the family: Transfer RNA (tRNA) molecules are approximately 80 nucleotides in length. Their secondary structure includes four short double-helical elements and three loops (D, anti-codon, and T loops). Lineage: Eukaryota; Metazoa; Arthropoda; Arachnida; Araneae; Eresidae. The record is from RNAcentral.